This is a small nucleolar RNA of Cyprinodon variegatus (sheepshead minnow), 131 nucleotides long. Its record names the gene SNORD22. It matches the Rfam family "Small nucleolar RNA SNORD22". From Rfam's summary of the family: U22 is a member of the C/D class of snoRNA which contain the C (UGAUGA) and D (CUGA) box motifs. Lineage: Eukaryota; Metazoa; Chordata; Actinopteri; Cyprinodontiformes; Cyprinodontidae. The record is from Ensembl.
CCUACAUGAUGACACCCGCACACGUCUUACGCCAUGCGCAAACGCCAGACCUGCAAAAGGUGAACCCACUGGUGUUGGCAUGGCAACAAGGGGAUGAUUUUGUUGGGGCUACCAACGGUCUGAUUCUAGGG